RNAcentral lists this ribosomal RNA (546 nucleotides) under Tortispora sp. RNAcentral's name for it is "partial large subunit ribosomal RNA". It matches the Rfam family "Eukaryotic large subunit ribosomal RNA", at positions 86 to 655 of the family's 3401-position model. Lineage: Eukaryota; Fungi; Ascomycota; Trigonopsidomycetes; Trigonopsidales; Trigonopsidaceae. The record is from RNAcentral.
ACGGCGAGCGAAGCGGCAAGAGCUCAAAUUUGAAAUCUGGCUUCCUUCGGAAGUCCGAGUUGUAAUUUGUAGAGGAUGUUCUGGAAGCACGCGCAGCAUAUGUUCCUUGGAACAGGACGUCAUAGAGGGUGAGAACCCCGUUCGUGGUUGCGUUGUGUGGACAUGUAGAGCUCCUUCGACGAGUCGAGUUGUUUGGGAAUGCAGCUCUAAGUGGGUGGUAGGAGCCAUCUAAAGCUAAAUAUAGGCGAGAGACCGAUAGCGAACAAGUACAGUGAUGGAAAGAUGAAAAGAACUUUGAAAAGAGGGUGAAACAGUACGUGAAAUUGCUGAAAGGGAAGCGUUUGAAAUCAGACAUGGCCUUUUCGAUCAUCGUUCUUCGGGGCGGUGCUCUCGAGUUGGCUGGGCCAGCAUCAGUUCUGGCGGCGAGAUAAGUGCUAGGGAAUGUGGCUCUUCGGAGUGUUAUAGCCCUGGUGGAUGUCGCCAGCUGGGACUGAGGACCGCGCUUUUGCAAGGAUGCUGGUUUAAUGAUUUCCAACGACCCGUCUU